AAAAAAAGAAAAAAUCUCAUAUUAAUCAUCUCUUUGUUUUCUUGGUUCCAUGUACACAAACCUCAAGGUUUGUUUUUGCUGAUUUUGGGAAUUUGACUUUGGUUUUCCUUUUCUUGAGGAUUUGGACUUCAAGAAAAUAUGGCAAAGGAUAGGCAUAUGGGUGUGGCCUUGGAUUUUUCCAAGGGAAGCAGAUUAGCUCUCAAAUGGGCCAUUGACAAUCUGCUAGACGAAGGUGACACCCUCUAUGUCCUUCACGUCAAGCCCUCACAAGGGGAAGAGUCUCGCAACCUUCUUUGGUCCACUACUGGUUCACCUCUGAUUCCACUGGUGGAGUUUCGUGAUCAGGAGGUGGCAAAAAAAUAUGAGGUUAAACUUGAUCCAGAGGUUUUGGAUAUGUUAGACACCGUCUCUAGGCAGAAACAGGUGAUUGUAGUGGCAAAAAUUUACUGGGGAGAUGCAAGAGACAGAUUAUGUGAGUCCGUAGAGGAUCUGAAGCUUGACUGUCUGGUCAUGGGUAGCAGAGGCCUUGGUUCCAUACAAAGGGCGCUGCUUGGGAGUGUGACCAACUAUGUGAUGACAAAUGCAACUUGCCCUGUGACUGUCGUCAAGGAUCCAAGUGCUCAUGGGUUCUGAUCAAAAUCUGAAUUUGAUCUUGCAGCGAUGAUUUGUGCUUUCCCUUUCUUUGGCUUGUACCUGCUUGUAUUGAAAUGUGAGUGGUUCUGAGUUUCUACCCCUUCACGGGCUAUCUUCAU
Molecule: unclassified non-coding RNA, 752 nt
Filed under: Hevea brasiliensis (rubber tree)
Lineage: Eukaryota; Viridiplantae; Streptophyta; Magnoliopsida; Malpighiales; Euphorbiaceae
Source: RNAcentral